This 76-nucleotide transfer RNA is filed under the name Lacibacter luteus. Its description in RNAcentral is "Lacibacter sp. TTM-7 tRNA-Arg". It matches the Rfam family "tRNA". Rfam says of the family: Transfer RNA (tRNA) molecules are approximately 80 nucleotides in length. Their secondary structure includes four short double-helical elements and three loops (D, anti-codon, and T loops). The record is from RNAcentral. Lineage: Bacteria; Pseudomonadati; Bacteroidota; Chitinophagia; Chitinophagales; Chitinophagaceae.
UGACUUAUAGUUCAAUGGAUGAGAAUGCUGCGCUACGAACGCAGAGAUACAAGUUCGACUCUUGUUAAGUCAACAA